GAACAGAGUACGCACUGUGGACGCUUCGAGGAAGCGAGAAUCGCUCGUUUGUUCGCCGCUGAUUGAGCGUAAUGGCCGACGAAAACCUAUCCGGGGGCGUGAAUAAUUACUCCGGCAUUUCCUUCCGAUUCGAGUCUGCGCCUUCUUUGUGUCGGCGGGAUCCAAUCCGCCUCGUUAACAUUCCGACACGAUCGAAACGGUGGCGAGAGGUGUCGCGGAGUACGCGACGCCGUCGGCCACGACGUCGAGGUGACAGUUAUCCCGGCUUCCCCGGGGGUGGCCGUUCGCUAACAACGCGUCGGAAUCGGCAGACGAGCCGGCUGGUAAUGAGCACAACAUUCCACUUUCUGUUGACACAGUAGCCAUUAAGCCUUACCUGGCGGCAACAGCCGUCUUAUCGCUGACCCAAGACAAAAGUCGACCGGCGCGGGCACUACUUUUGCACAUCAUUAGUUUGCGCCCCACCAGUGCCAGGCCGAGUGUGUGUGUGACAGACUGCUGGGGCACGUUC
RNAcentral lists this long non-coding RNA (511 nucleotides) under Androctonus crassicauda. Lineage: Eukaryota; Metazoa; Arthropoda; Arachnida; Scorpiones; Buthidae. The record is from RNAcentral.